RNAcentral lists this ribosomal RNA (408 nucleotides) under uncultured bacterium. RNAcentral's name for it is "bacterial SSU rRNA". It matches the Rfam family "Bacterial small subunit ribosomal RNA", at positions 354 to 777 of the family's 1533-position model. The record is from RNAcentral.
GUGGGGGAUAUUGCACAAUGGGGGAAACCCUGAUGCAGCGACGCCGCGUGAGGGAAGAAGGUCUUCGGAUUGUAAACCUCUGUCUUCGGGGACGAACACAAUGACGGUACUCGAGGAGGAAGCCACGGCUAACUACGUGCCAGCAGCCGCGGUAAAACGUAGGUGGCAAGCGUUGUCCGGAAUUACUGGGUGUAAAGGGAGCGCAGGCGGAGCUGCAAGUUGGGUGUCAAAUCUACGGGCUUAACCCGUAUCCGCACUCAAAACUGUAGUUCUUGAGUAGUGCAGAGGUAGGCGGAAUUCCCGGUGUAGCGGUGGAAUGCGUAGAUAUCGGGAGGAACACCAGUGGCGAAGGCGGCCUACUGGGCACCAACUGACGCUGAGGCUCGAAAGUAUGGGUAGCAAACAGGA